AACGCACAUUGCGCCCGCCAGUACUCUGGCGGGCAUGCCUGUUCGAGCGUCAUUUCAACCCUCAAGCCCCCGGCUUGGUGUUGGGGCCCUGCGGCUGCCGCAGGCCCCGAAAUGGAGUGGCGGGCUCGCGGCGAACUCCGAGCGUAGUAGAAUCCUAUCUCGCUAGGGAGACGCGGCGCGCUCCGGCCGUUAAAGCAAUCAUCUUUAACCCAAGGUUGACCUCGGAUCAGGUAGGAAUACCCGCUGAACUUAA
Molecule: unclassified non-coding RNA, 253 nt
Filed under: uncultured fungus
Lineage: Eukaryota; Fungi
Description: partial contains 5.8S ribosomal RNA, internal transcribed spacer 2, and large subunit ribosomal RNA
Rfam family: 5.8S ribosomal RNA (bases 1-52)
Source: RNAcentral